This is a long non-coding RNA of Passer domesticus (house sparrow), 778 nucleotides long. RefSeq lists it as uncharacterized. Lineage: Eukaryota; Metazoa; Chordata; Aves; Passeriformes; Passeridae. The transcript is spliced from 3 exons. The record is from RefSeq and is a predicted model, not a curated record.
ACAAGCUUGGAGAACACGCUGUCAUGGCGGCUCAGCUGAGGCGGAAGGGAUGGAAGAAAGGCUUUGUUUCACAAACCCCCUGGGCUGGGUCCCAGUGUCACUCCCUGGCAAGCCUCAGGGGGGCAAUGGUUAAUCACCAACCAUUAACAGAUCCUGUAGCUACCUGCUGGCUAGUGAAAAAGACAUUCAGAUGGAUAACAAAUCAAUUGAUCUGUUCAUAGUAGUGCCCUGUAGAAGAAUUCUUGGCAGGACAAGGGCAUGCUAUACCCCUCCAGAGACUGGACAACGCUGGCCUGUAGAUUGAAGACUUACUCUAAAGACCAUGUACCAUCCUCGAACAAGAACAACAUAGACCAUGUAUCAUCCUUGAACAGAUACAACAAGGAAGAAUGAGCAUUGUGCAAGCAUGAAGCUGGAUGCCAAACACGAUAUGAGAACUGCUAAUUUAGCACACCUUAGCUAAAAAUACUUAUAGUGUGACAAGCAGUCAGAAAUAACAUGUAUGUGCGAAUGCAACCACUUAACCAAUGAGCAUUAAACAGUAGUGGCGUGGAACAGUGUAUACAGAAGCAUAAAUAUGCCAAAGUUACUUAAUAAAGUAGGACGACAUGUAGCCUUAUUGGUGUGAUUGUUAUUACUCGGCUGACUCUCCAUGGGACCCUCUUCAGUGCCCUUCAUAAGAGGUCCUGUGGCUAAUCAUAGUCUGUUUCUUAUUGCUACACAGCUGACAUGAAAAUGACCACAAGUUAUCUUUUUUUUUCCUUAGUUUCUUGCAAGA